RNAcentral lists this ribosomal RNA (397 nucleotides) under uncultured bacterium. Its description in RNAcentral is "partial 16S ribosomal RNA". It matches the Rfam family "Bacterial small subunit ribosomal RNA", at positions 523 to 918 of the family's 1533-position model. The record is from RNAcentral.
AUACGUAGGGGGCGAGCGUUGUCCGGAAUGAUUGGGCGUAAAGGGCGCGUAGGCGGCUUUGCAAGUCAGUAGUGGAAGUCCAUUUUUCAAGGAUGGAAGUGCUACAGAAACUGCGGAGCUUGAGUGCAGGAGAGGGUAUCGGAAUUCCCGGUGUAGCGGUGAAAUGCGUAGAGAUCGGGAGGAACACCAGUGGCGAAGGCGGGUAACUGGACUGCAACUGACGCUGAGGCGCGAAAGUGUGGGGAGCAAACAGGAUUAGAUACCCUGGUAGUCCACACUGUAAACGAUGAAUGCUAGGUGUAGGAGGUAUCGACCCCUUCUGUGCCGCAGUAAACACAGUAAGCAUUCCGCCUGGGGAGUACGGUCGCAAGAUUAAAACUCAAAUGAAUUGACGGGG